AGAUAGCUGGUUCUCCCCGAAAGCUAUUUAGGUAGCGCCUCGUGAAUUCAUCUCCGGGGGUAGAGCACUGUUUCGGCUAGGGGGCCAUCCCGGCUUACCAACCCGAUGCAAACUGCGAAUACCGGAGAAUGUUAUCACGGGAGACACACGGCGGGUGCUAACGUCCGUCGUGAAGAGGGAAACAACCCAGACCGCCAGCUAAGGUCCCAAAGUCAUGGUUAAGUGGGAAACGAUGUGGGAAGGCCCAGACAGCCAGGAUGUUGGCUUAGAAGCAGCCAUCAUUUAAAGAAAGCGUAAUAGCUCACUGGUCGAGUCGGCCUGCGCGGAAGAUGUAACGGGGCUAAACCAUGCACCGAAGCUGCGGCAGCGAACGUAUCACCCAAGACAACUUUACGGAGUUGACGAUUGACGGAGCGAAGCGACGUCAAAGCGUUCAUUAAAGUCGAGUUGGCUUAGGGAUACGUUCGUUGGGUAGGGGAGCGUUCUGUAAGCCUGUGAAGGUGUGUCGUGAGGCAUGCUGGAGGUAUCAGAAGUGCGAAUGCUGACAUAAGUAACGAUAAAGCGGGUGAAAAGCCCGCUCGCCGGAAGACCAAGGGUUCCUGUCCAACGUUAAUCGGGGCAGGGUGAGUCGACCCCUAAGGCGAGGCCGAAAGGCGUAGUCGAUGGGAAACGGGUUAAUAUUCCCGUACUUGGUGUUACUGCGAAGGGGGGACGGAGAAGGCUAUGUUGGCCGGGCGACGGUUGUCCCGGUUUAAGCGUGUAGGUGUGUGUUCCAGGUAAAUCCGGUUCACUUUAACACUGAGGCGUGACGACGAGGCACUACGGUGCUGAAGCAACAAAUGCCCUGCUUCCAGGAAAA
This 859-nucleotide ribosomal RNA is filed under the name Salmonella enterica. Its description in RNAcentral is "partial 23S ribosomal RNA". It matches the Rfam family "Bacterial large subunit ribosomal RNA", at positions 843 to 1616 of the family's 2925-position model. The record is from RNAcentral. Lineage: Bacteria; Pseudomonadati; Pseudomonadota; Gammaproteobacteria; Enterobacterales; Enterobacteriaceae.